This 12179-nucleotide long non-coding RNA is filed under the name Nicotiana tabacum (common tobacco). RNAcentral's name for it is "long non-coding RNA (NTAB_LNC007010)". Lineage: Eukaryota; Viridiplantae; Streptophyta; Magnoliopsida; Solanales; Solanaceae. The record is from RNAcentral.
UUCCCAAGACCAUAAUACCUAGGCCCAUACCCCUAAACUAAUUCCUACCCCCAUAUAAUAGUACUUAAUGCCUAAAUAAGGCCGUACGCCAAAAACAACCCAAUCCGCUGUUUGUCUUCAUAAAUCAAAAGAAAAGACAAAAAAGAUGACAAUAAGAAAAGGACCAAAAAGCUGACCUAGGGAUACAAUCAAACGCUAUAACCAAAAAGAGAGGAGCCAUCUUUUGACAAAAAAAUCGUACCCCCACCCCCUGACUUCAUCUUCUCCAAACGACCCCCCUUUUCCUCUUCUCCGGCGGAGCCCACACCAGCGACCAACAGCAGCCCCUAUUUCGCCAAAAAAUAAGCAGAAAUAGACCGGAAAAAGUCCCCGACGAGGUCCCGGUUCAAGUUUCCGGCGUACGGUCAGAGGCUAAGGAGGAACUUCGUAGGCAAGAAGUGGAGGUAGUCCUCUCAUAUUCUUCUUAUUCUCGUCUUAGCAAACUCUAUAGUAUGCUUUAUCUAUCAUCCAAAAUAUGUACUUUGUCAUCUCUCAUUUAUUGUGUUUUAAAUUCUAUUUAAAUCUGAUUACCUUAGAUGACGACAACGUGCAUUAGUCUGUUAAUUUAUCUAUACAAAUUUAAGAGGGGUGGUAUUCAAUAGAACUAUGUUCAUUUUAUGUUCUACCUAAGCAGAAAUUCGAAAAGUUUCUUAUUUCGCGUAAGAACAUACAAACCAUUUAUCCUAGAUAUAUGUGUUCAAGUUAUAUCUCAGUUCAAAUGGGUGUAUUUCAGAAAUUGAGGCAAUGCGAUUAAAUUGAUUUUUUUAAUUACCAAAUUCGGGUGUGCAUUUCAUGUGACCCUACCAUAAUUUUGAAUAAUGAUAGUAGAAAUUAUCAUGUUAUAAAUCCGGGUGUACAUUUUAUGUGACCCGGCUCUCAUUUCCAACAAGGUUAAAUAGAACGUGUCGUGAACCACGGGUGCAUUUCAUGUAGCGUGGCUUGCGAUGUGUUUUGAAUAACCUUGAAUUAAUCCUUUAAAUAAUUAAAGCGAUUUUCAAAAGUUAAAAAUGCACAUAGGUUUAAAACUAUUUUAAAAAUCAAAUAAAUAGGCCAAUAAUAAUAGUUGAGCGACCGUGCUAGAACCACUGAAUCCGGAAAUGCCUAACACCUUCUCCCGGGUUAACAUAAUUCCUUACCCGGAUUUCUGUGUUUGCGGACUAUAAAACAGAGUCAAUCUUUUCUCAAUUCGGGAUUUGAACUGGUGACUUGGGACACCAUAAACCAUCCCAAGUGGCGACUCUGAUUUUAAAUAAAAUAAUCCCGUUUCGAUUGUUACUUAAAUUGGAAAGAACUCCCUUAUGCCGCCCUCGGGCGGUAAAAACAGGUGUGACACUUUUGAUACGAAUGAACAUGUGGGGGAAUAAGGAUUUCAUUGAUGUAAAUUUUGUCAGAUUCCGAGACGUGGGCUCGGGGGUCGGGUUUGGUAAAUUUUGGGAUUUGUUUUGUAAUUUGGUUACUUUCGAGUGGGCUUUGUUCCCUUAGCAUAUUUUGAUGAUUAUAUACUGAUUUUGGUUAGAUUUUGGGUCAUCACCUGUUUUUAAAAUGAAUUCUAUGUUCUGAGGCCUUAACCUCUUUUUGUCUCACAUCGAUUUGCGUGCACAGUCGGGACACGUAGCCGGAAAGCUAAUAUGUGAAAAUCUGUGGAAAAUGGUAAAUUUUGAUUAUAAAAUGAAUUAGGUUGACUUCGGUCAAUAUUUUGGGUAAAUGGACCGAACCCAUGAUUUGACGGUCCUGGAGGGUCCGUAGGAAAAUAUGGGACUUGGGCGUAUGCCCGAAAUCGAAUUCCGAGGUCUCAAGCCCGAGAAAUAAAUUUUUAAAGAAAAUUGUUUUUCUGAAUAUAUUUAUGAGAUUUAGAAAUGAAUUGUUAUUAGAACUUGAUGGUAUCGGGCCCGUAUUUUGGUUCCGGCAGGUCUUAUAUUUGAUUUAAGAUAAGUCUGUGAAAUUUGGUAAGAAAUGGACUUGAAACGACGUGAAUCGGAUCAUUUUUUAGAAAACUGGAAAUUUGAAGUUCUUAAGAAAAUUUCAUGAUUUUGAUGCUAAAUUCCUAGUUGUUGAUGUUAUCUUAGUGAUUUGAAUGCACGAGCAAGUCCGUAUGAUAUUUUUAGAUUGGUGUGCAUGUUUGGUUGAGAGCCCCGAGGGCUCGGGUGAGUUUUGGAUAGGCCACAAAGUGAAAUUUUAACUUAGGAAAUUGCUGGUAUGCUUCAGGCCUACAGGCUUCGCAUCUCGCAAAUGCGAGCAAUGUAUCGCAAAUGCGAUAGGUGGCCUGGGUUGCCUUCUUCGCAAAUGCGAACUGUCUAUUGCAAAUGCGACGUCUGCCUGGAAUCCCCCUUAGUCACAAAUGCGAGACCUCAGUCGCACAUGCGACUUCACAAAUGCGACACUGCUUUCGCAAAUGCGAACAUAGCAGAGGUCGGGGUUCGCAAUUCCCAUAUCUGCAACCUGUAAUUUUUAUACUUAGCCGAAAAUCAACCAUUUUUCACACUCUUUCAAAACCAAAACACUCUCGGGCGAUUUUUCAAAGACAACUCUUCUUCCAAAUCGAUUGUAAGUCAAUUUCAACUCUUUUUCUUCAAUCAUUAACAUCUUUUAACAUGAUUUCAACUCAAAAUCAAUGAUUUUCAUGGGGGAAAUAGAGUGUAUUGGGUAGAACCUAGGUUUUUCAAAAAUUGAGGAUUUGGACCUCGAUUUGAGGUCCGAUUUCAAACAAAUUAUAUAUUUGGGUUUGUGGGAAAAUGGGUAAUCGAGUUUUUGUUCGAACCUCGGGUUUUGACCAUGUGGGCCUGGGGGCAAUUUUUGACGUUUUGGGUAAAAAUUUCGAAAACUCAUUUUUAUGCAUUGGGGUUGAUUCAUUUAGCGUUUAUUGAUGUAAUUAAGUAACUUGUGGCUAUAUACGAGCAAAUUAGUGGUGGAAUCAAAGGGUAAAGCAAUAAUUGAGACGUGAAUUGUGACGUGAAUUGUGUUCGUGGCAUCGAUGUAAGUGUUUGGUUUAACCUGAGCUUGAGGGAUUAGGAGUUGUGUCCUAUUUGCUACUUGUUUCUUAUUGAGUACGAUGUAUAGGCAUGGUGACGAGUAUCUAUACAUUGGUGUCGAGCAUGAUCGUGAGCCUUAAAUUGUGAUUUAUUGUGUUCUUGAAUAAUACUACGGAUGCUUAAAUUGAUUAUUCUCUGUAUUGAGCAAGGAUUAUGAUUGUUCUCGUGGAAUUACUUAUGAUUGAGUAUUGGUGUUAGCUGAAGUAGUUAGAUGUUGGAACAAGUUUGGUUAUAGCUAUUUCUCCCUUGCCGGGAUGUAUUUAUUGAUACUGUCGAUUCCCUUGCCGGAAUAGUGUAGUUCUUUAUUGAUACCUUGCCGGGACUCUUGUUAUGAUUGUUGUUGAUUAUAUAUGUGGAUCGGGUUGCACGCCGCAAUAAUAUUAUAUGUGGAUCGGGUUACACGCCGCAACAAUAUUAUAUGUGGAUGGUUGCACGUCGCAACAAUGAUAUAUGUGGAUCGGGUUACACGUCGCAACAAUGAUAUAUGUGGAUCGGGUUGCACGCCGUAAUAGUGUUGUUAUAUUUUGGGAUCGGGUUGCGUGCCGCAACAAUUAUUGAUACAAAGUGUUUAUAGAUUGGAUACAAGUUUCUUAUUGUUUUGCCGUGAAUUCUAAGCUAUCAUUAUGCCGUUACUCUUGAUUUACUGUUGAUAUUGAUACACCCCUCGCAGCAUGUACCCUCAUCCCAUCUUUACUUGUUUAUUCCUGCUUCAUUUUAUGCAGUAUAUUAUAUAACUGCACAGGUUCAUUUGGUAGUCUGGUCAUUGCCUCGUCACUACUUCGCCGAGGUUAGGCUAGGCACUUACCAACACAUGGGGUCGGUUGUGCUGAUACUACACUCUGCACUAUGUGCAGAUCCCGGAGCAGCUCUUGGACCAUAGCAUUUGGGUGGCUACCUUCAGUCCACGCAGAGAUCCAAGGUAGACCUGUAGGCGUCCGCAGGCCCUGGCGUCUCCUCUAUCCUUUAUUUCCUGUUUCAUUUCUUUGAUUUAGAAACAGCGUAUCUUUAUUUUCAGACUUUAUAUUUAGCACUCUUAGAUCAUCUGUGGUACUGUGACACCAGUUCUGGGUGAUUAAGGCUUAAAUAGUUGUAUUAGAUUCAUAUUUCACAUAUUUUACUACAUUUCUUCCGCUUAAUGAAAUUUUCGUUGUUUUUCACAUUAUUGCUUUAUAAAUGCUAAAAGGGUAUAAAAAUGGAUAAAGGUAAUUUGUUCAAUAAUUGGCUUGCCUAGCUCACAUUAGUAGGCACCAUCACGACUCCCGAGGGUGGGAAAUCCGGGUCAUGACAAGUUGGUAUCAGAGCUCUAGGUUACUUGGGUCUCACAGUUCACAGACAAGCUUAGUAAAUCUGAGGGAUCGGUAUAGAGACGUCUGUAUUUAUCCCUAGAGGCUACAUAGUUAGGAAAAACUUCACAUUUAUUCCUUCCUGUCAUGCGGUUUGGUUUCUCAAUGCUAAUUGAAUUUCUACUCUGUUUUUUCGUAAAUGGCGAGAACACGCGCUUCCUCAUCCACUGACCAGCAGCCCGAGCCCCCAGCAGCAACUCCCACGAGGGGCAGAGGGCGAGGCCGAGGCCGUGCUAGAGGCCUAGGUAGGGACAGAGCUCAGCCCAAAGCAGCAGCAUCAGCAGUAGAUCCUCAGGUUGAUUUUGAUGUUUAAGUUCUAGCCCCAGCAGUUCCGGUGGGCCCAGCUCAGGUCCCAUAGGGGUUUAUUGCUACCCCAGUACUCUAGGAUGCUCUGGUCCGUCUAGUGGACCUUAUGGAGAGUGUCACCCGGGCAGACUUGCUUCCUAUAGCACCAGCCAUCUCUUAGGCUGGAAGAGGAGCCCAGACUCCUGCUACUCGCACUUUGGAGCAGGUAGCUCCCCAGUUUCAGACUCCAACAGUUCAGCCAGUUGGAGCAGUUCAGACAGGUGUGGUAGCUCAGAUCGGUGAUGGAGCAUCUAUGUCUGCUGAUGCUUUGUAGAGAUUGGACAGGUUCACCAAGCUCUUCACAACUACCUUCAGCGGUGCAUCUUCUAAGGAUCCCCAGGAUUAUCUAGACAGCUGUCAUGAGGUUCUCAGGAUCAUGGGGAUAGUAGAGACCAAUAGGGUCGAUUUUUGUACCUUUUGCUUGUCGGGAUCCGCAAAGACUUGGUGGAGAGACUAUUGUUUGGAUAGACUAUCUGGAUUACCAGCCUUGACUUGGGAGAAAUUUACUCAGCUAUUUCUGGAGAAGUUUCUCCCCAUCACUCAGAGAGAAACCUAUCGGAGGCAGUUUGAGCGUCUUCAGUAGGGUUCUGUGACUGUUACCUAGUAUGAGACCAGAUUCAUCGACUUGGCUCAUCAUGCUCUUAUCAUACUUCCCACCGAGAGAGAGAGGGAUCUUCAGAUGGCUAGGGAGGCUGGGAGUGAGAUAUCUUUCCAGGAGGUAGCCAAUGUGGCCCGGAGAGUUGAGAUGGUUCUAUCGCAGGGAGAUGGUCAUGGGUCGGACAAGAGGCCCCGUCAUUCAGGCAGAUCCACUCUGGAGCCAGGGAUUCAUAUGGUAGAGGCCAUCCUCCUAGGCCCUUUCAGUCAACACUUCAGGUUUCUCACGGUGCUUUGGGUGGCCGUAGUUCUCAUAUGCAGUAUUCUGAUCAGCAGUCCUACAGUGCACCACCAACUCCUAUCAGUACACCGACGCUCAAGAGUUUUUGGGGUGGUCAUUAAUGUCGCCAGGGUCAGUCUUAGUUUCCUCUACUGUAGCAUUCAGGUGGAUGUUUUAAGUGUGAUAAGUAUGGUCAUAUCAGGAGGGCUUGUCCUAGAUUGGUAGGUACUCAGUCGCAGCGGUAUGGUUCCCGUGUUAUGGUUCAGGCACCAGGUGUUCCACAACCCGCCCAGCCAGCUAGAGGUGGGGGUAAAGGUGCUAGAGAUAGAGGUAGAGGUCAGACCGCUAGAGGUGGAGGCCAACCAGCUGCAGGCCGUCCCAAAGAUGUAGUCCAGGGUGGUGGGGCCCAACCCCGAGGGUAUGCUCUUCCAGCUAGGCUUGAGGCUGAGGCUUCCGAUGUAGUUAUCAUAGGUAUUGUUCUAGUUUGUGGCCGAGAUUCUUCAGUUUAUUUAAUCCAGGGUCUAUAUACUCCUAUGUGUCAUCUUAUUUUGCACCGUAUCUGGUCAUGCCUAGUCAUUCCUUUAGUGCCUCUAUUGUGGUAGAUCGAGUCCAUCGCUUUUGCAUAGUUGUGAUUAGGGGUCUUGAGACUCGUGUAGAUUUGUUUCUUCUGGACAUGGUUGAUUUCGAUGUCAUAUUGGGGAUGGACUGGUUAUCACCUUACCACGCUAUCUUGGACUAUUAUGCCAAGACUAUGACCUUAGCCUUGCCGGAUUUACCUCGUUUGGAGUGGAAAGGGACUCCUGGUCAUUCUACCCGUAGUGUCAUCUCUUAUGUGAAGGCUCGACGUAUGGUCGAGAAGGGGUGUUUGGCCUAUUUGGCAUAUGUUUGUGAUUCUAGUGCCGAGGUUCCUUCCAUUGAUUCUGGGCCUGUUGCUUGUAAGUUCCCUAAGGUAUUUCCUUCAGACCUGCCAGGUAUGCCACCUGAUAGGGAUAUUGACUUUUGCAUUGAUUUGGCUCCGGGCACUCAACCCAUUUUUAUUCCACCGUAUUAUAUGGCCCCGCCUGAGUUGAAAGAGUUGAAGGAGCAGUUACAAGACUUGCUUGAGAAGGGUUUCAUUAGACCGAGUGUUUCACCUUGGGGUGUGCCAGUGUUGUUUGUUAAGAAGAAGGACAGAUCAAUGAGAAUGUGUAUCGAUUACCGGCAAUUGAACAAGGUUACAAUCAAGAAUAAGUAUCCAUUGCCGAGGAUUAAUGAUUUGUUUGAUCAGCUUCAGGGUGCCAAGGUAUUCUCGAAGAUUGACUUGAGAUCUGUCUACCAUCAGUUGAGGAUUAAGGCAUCCGAUGUCCCUAAGACAGCUUUCCACACUCAGUACGGGCAUUAUGAGUUCCUGGUGAUGUCAUUCGGGUUGACAAAUGCCCCAACAGCUUUUAUGGAUUUGAUGAACUGAGUGUUCAGGCCUUACAUGGGUUCAUUCGUGAUAGUCUUCAUUGAUGAUAUUUUGAUAUAUUCCCGCAAUCGGGAGGUACACAAGCAUCAUCUUAGAGUGGUUCUUCAGACUUUAAGGGAUAGUCAGUUGUAUGCCAAGUUUUUAAAAUGUGAGUUCUGGUUGAGUUCAGUUGCAUUCCUGGGUCAUGUUGUAUCUGCAGAGGGUAUUCAGGUUGAUCCGAAGAAGAUUGAGGUAGUCAAGAACUAGCCUAGACCAGCAUCAGCUACAGAGAUUCGGAGUUUCUUGGGAUUGACAGGAUAAUACCGUCGGUUUGUGGAGGGGUUUUCAUCUAUCGCAGCCCCGAUGACUACGUUGACCUAGAAGGGUGACUAGUUCAGAUGGUCGGACGAGUGUGAGGAGAGCUUUUAGAAGCUCAAGACAGCUCUGACUAUGGCACCGGUGUUGGUUUUACCCAUAGGUUUAGGGCCUUAUACAGUUUAUUGUGAUGCAUCUCGUAUUGGACUUGGUGCGGUGUUGAUGCAGGAUGGCAAGGUCAUUGUCUAUUCUUCGCGGCAGUUGAAGAUUCAUGAGAAGAAGUAUCCAGUUCAUGAUUUGGAGUUGGCAGCCAUUUUUCACUCGUUGAAGAUCUGGAGGCAUUAUCUGUAUGGCAUGGCAUGUGAGGUGUUCACGAUCACAAGAGUCUGCAGUAUUNNNNNNNNNNNNNNNNNNNNNNNNNNNNNNNNNNNNNNNNNNNNNNNNNNNNNNNNNNNNNNNNNNNNNNNNNNNNNNNNNNNNNNNNNNNNNNNNNNNNNNNNNNNNNNNNNNNNNNNNNNNNNNNNNNNNNNNNNNNNNNNNNNNNNNNNNNNNNNNNNNNNNNNNNNNNNNNNNNNNNNNNNNNNNNNNNNNNNNNNNNNNNNNNNNNNNNNNNNNNNNNNNNNNNNNNNNNNNNNNNNNNNNNNNNNNNNNNNNNNNNNNNNNNNNNNNNNNNNNNNNNNNNNNNNNNNNNNNNNNNNNNNNNNNNNNNNNNNNNNNNNNNNNNNNNNNNNNNNNNNNNNNNNNNNNNNNNNNNNNNNNNNNNNNNNNNNNNNNNNNNNNNNNNNNNNNNNNNNNNNNNNNNNNNNNNNNNNAUGUGGUGGCCGACGCUUUGAGUAGGAAGUCAGCCAGUAUGGGCAGUCUUGCUUUGGAUGUUCAGGCUUUGGCCAAUCAGUUCCUGAGGUUGGAUGUUUCUGAGCCCAGUCGUGUGUUAGCUUGCACGGUCGCUCGUUCCUCUUUAUUGGAGCGUAUCCAUGAUCAGCAGUAUGAUGAUCCCUAUUUGUGUGUCCUUAGAUACACGGUGCAGCACGGAGGAGCCAAGCAGGUUACUUUAGGUGAUGAUGGAGUUUUGAGAUUGCAGGGUCGAAUUUGCGUGCCUAAUGUAGAUAGGCUCUGAGAGUUGAUUUUAAAGGAGGCCCAUAGUUCCCGAUACUCUAUUCAUCUGGGCACUGCUAAGAUGUAUCAGGAUUUGCGGCAACAUUAUUAGUGGAGAAGAAUGAAGAAGGAUAUCGUUGCAUAUGUGGCUUGGUAUUUGAACUGUCAGCAGGUUAAGUACGAGCAUCAGAGGCCUAGUGGUUUAUUUCAGAGGAUUGAGCUUCCCGAGUGGAAGUGGGAGCGGAUCACUAUGGACUUUGUUGUUGGACUCCCAUGGACUCAGAGGAAGUUCGAUGCAGUGUGGGUUAUUGUUGAUAGGCUAACUAAGUCAGCACAUUUCAUUCCUGUGGAAGUCUCCUAUUUUUUCGAGAGGUUAGGUAAGAUCUAUAUCCGGGAGAUUGUUUGUCUUCAUGGUGUGCCCGAGUCUAUCAUUUCGGACCGAGGUACGCAAUUUACCUCGCAUUUUGGAGAGCAGUUCAGCGAGAGUUGGGCACACCGGUUGAGUUGAGCACAACAUUUCAUCUUCAAACGGAUGGGCAGUCCGAGCGGUAUGGUAGGCUCGUGGGAUCAGUUUUUGCCUUUAGCGGAGUUUGCCUACAACAACAGCUACCCAUCGAGUAUCUAGAUGGCUCCUUAUGAGGCUUUGUAUGGUAGGCGAUGACGGUCGCCAGUUGGAUGGUUUGAGCUGCAAAAGGUCCGGUUGUUGGGUACAGAUCUGGUUUAGGAUGUCUUGGACAAGGUCAGGAUUAUUCAGGAUAGGCUUCGUAUAGCUUAGUCCAAGAAAAAGAGUUAUGCCGACUGUACAGUUCGUGAUUUGGCAUUCAUGGUUGGUGAGCGGGUAUUGCUUCGAGUGUCGCCUAUGAAGGGCGUGAUGAGAUUUGGGAAGAAGGGCAAGCUUAGCCCUAGGUUCAUUGGCCCGUUUGAGAUUCUUGAUCGAGUGGGAGAGGUGGCUUAUAGACUUGCGUUGCCACCGGGCUUAUCAGCCGUGCAUCCAGUGUUUCAUGUGUCCAUGCUUAGGAAAUAUCACGGCGAUCCAUCCCACGUGUUAGAUUUCUGCACUGCCCAGUUAGACAAGGACUUGUCUUAUGAGGAGGAGCCGAUAGCUAUUAUGGACCGGCAGGUUUGUCAGUUGAGAUCGAAAAGUUUUCCUUCUGUUCGUGUUCAGUGGAGAGGUCAGCCUACUUAGGCAUCGACCUGGGAGUCCGAGUCCGAUAUGCGGAGCCAUUAUCCCUAUCUUUUUCCCGACUCAUGUACUUCCUUCAUCUGUCCAUUCGAGGACGACCAGUUGUUUUAGAGGGGGAGAAUGUGAUGACCUUGGGUCAUCACCUGUUUUUAAAAUGAAUUCUGCGUUUCGAGGCAUUAAAAACCUCUUUCUGUCUCACAUCGAUUUGCGUAUGUAGUCCGGGUGCAUAGCCAGAAAGUUAAUAUGUGAAAAUCUGUGAAAAUGGUAAAUUUUGAUUAUAAAAUGAAUUAAGUUGACUUCGAUUAAUAGUUUGGGUAAGUGGACUCAGACCCAUGAUUUGACGGUCCCGGAGGGUCCGUAGGAAAAUAUGGGACUUGGGCGUAUGCCCGGAAUCGAAUUCUGAGGUCCCAAGUCUGAGAAAUGAAUUUUUAAAGAAAGUUAUUUUCUGAAAUUAUUUAGGAGAUUUGGAAAUGAAUUGUGAUUAGAACUCGAUUGUAUCGGGCCGGUAUUUUGGUUCCGGUGCCCGGUACAGGUCUUAUAUGUGAUUUAAGAUAAGUGUGUAAAAUUUAGUGAGAAACGGACUUGAAACGACGUGAAUCGGAUCAUUUUUGAGAAAAUUAGAAAUUUGAAGUUCUUAAGAAAAUUUUAUGAUUUUGAUGCUAAAUUCCUAGUUGUUGAUGUUAUCUUAGUGAUUUGAAUGCACGAUCAAGUCCGUAUGAUGUUUUUAGGUUGGUGUGCACGUUUGGUUGGGAGCCCCGGGGGAUCGGGUGAGUUUUGGAUAGGCCACAGAGUGAAAUUUUAACUUAGGGAAUUAUGUAUGCUUCAGGCCUGCAGGCUUCGCAUUGCGAAGCCUGUCUCGCAAAUGCGAGCAAUGUAUCGCAAAUGCGAGAAGUGGCAUGGGCUGCCUUCUUCCCAAAUGCGAAGAGUCUGUCGCAAAUGCCACAUCUGCCUGGAAUCCCCCUUAGUCACAAAUGCGAACAUAGCAAAGGCCGGGGUUCGCAAUUCCCAUAUCUACAACCUGCAAAUUUUAUAGUUAGCCAAAAAUCAACCAUUUUUCACACUCUUUUAAAACCAAAACACUCUUGGGCAAUUUUCAAAAACAACUCUUCUUCCAAAGUCGAUUGUAAGUCAAUUUUAACUCGUUUUCUUCAAUCAUUAAUAUCUUUUCACAUGAUUUCAACUCAAGAUCAAUGAUUUUCAUGGGGGAAAUUGGGUAUUUUGGGUAGCACAUAGGUUUUUCAAGAAUUGAGGAUUUGGACCUCGAUUUGAGGUCCGAUUUCAAACAAAUUAUAUAUUUCGGUUCGUGGGAAAAUGGGUAAUCGGGUUUUGGUUUGAAUCUCGGGUUUUUUUACCAUGUGGGCCCAGGGGCAAUUUUUAACUUUUUGGGUAAAACUUUGGAAAACUCAUUUUUAUGCAUCGGGGUUGAUUCAUUUAUUGUUUAUUGAUGUAAUUAAGUAACUUGUGGCUAGAAUUGGUGGUGGAAUCAAGGUGUAAACGAUAAUUGAGACGUGAAUUGUGUUCGUGACAUCGAGGUAAGUGUUUAGUUUAACCUUUGCUUGAGGGAUUAGAAGUUGUUUCCUAUUUGCUACUUGUUUCUUGUUGAGUACGACACAUAGGCAUGGUGACGAGUAUCUAUACAUUGGUGUCGAGCAUGACCGUGAGUCUUAAAUUGUGAUUUACUUUGUUCUUGAAUAAUACUACGGAUGCUUAAAUUGAUGAUUCUCUGUAUUAAGCAAGGAUUAUGAUUGUUCUCGUGGAAUUACUUAUGAUUGAGUAUUGGUGUUAACUGAGGUAGUUAGAUAUUGGAACAAGUUUGGUUAUAGCUAUUUCUCCCUUGCCGGGACGUAUUUACUGAUUUUGUCGAUUCCCUUACCAGGAUAGUGUAGUUCUUUAUUGAUCCCUUGCCAAGACUCUUGUUAUGAUUGUUGUUGAUUAUAUAUGUGGAUCGGGUUACACGGCGCAACAAUAUUAUAUGUGGAUCGGGUUGCACGCCACAACAAUGAUAUAUGUGGAUCGGGUUGCAUGCUGCAACAAUGAUAUAUGUGGAUCGGGUUGCACAUUGCAACGGUGAUAAAUGAUAUGGAUCAGGUUGCACGCCGCAAUAGUGUUGUUAUAUAUUGGGAUCGGGUUGCGUGGCACAACAAUUGUUGAUACAAAGUGUUUAUAGAUUGGAUACAAGUUUCUUAUUGUUUUGUCGUGAAUUCUAAGCUAUCCUUAUGCCAUUACUCUUGAUUUAUUGUUGAUAUUGAUACACCCCCGCAACAUGUACCACCCUCCCAUCUUUACUUGAUUAUUCUUGUUUCAUUUUCCAUUGUAUAUUAUAUAACUGCACAGGUUCAUUUGGUAGUCUGGUCCUAGCCUCGUCACUACUUCGUCGAGGUUAGGCUAGGCACUUACCAACACAUGAGGUCGGUUGUGCUGAUACUACACUCUGCACUAUGUGCAGAUCCUGGAGCAACUCUUGGACCAUAGCAUUUGGGUGGCUACCUUCAGUCCACACGGAGAUCCAAGGUAGACCUGUAGGCGUUCGCAG